UACGUAGGCAGCAAGCGUUGUUCGGAAUUACUGGGCGUAAAGAGUGUGUAGGCGGUGCUCUAAGUUCGGUGUGAAAUCUCCCGGCUUAACUGGGAGGGUGCGCCGGAAACUGGAGUGCUCGAGCGUGGGAGAGGAAAGCGGAAUUCCUGGUGUAGCGGUGAAAUGCGUAGAUAUCGGGAGGAACACCAGUGGCGAAGGCGGUUGCCUGGGGCUUUGCUGACGCUGAUGCGCGAAAGCGUGGGGAGCGAGCCGG
This 253-nucleotide ribosomal RNA is filed under the name uncultured bacterium. Its description in RNAcentral is "partial 16S ribosomal RNA". It matches the Rfam family "Bacterial small subunit ribosomal RNA", at positions 524 to 776 of the family's 1533-position model. The record is from RNAcentral.